Molecule: non-coding RNA, 2332 nt
Organism: Musa acuminata subsp. malaccensis (wild Malaysian banana)
Lineage: Eukaryota; Viridiplantae; Streptophyta; Magnoliopsida; Zingiberales; Musaceae
Source: RefSeq, a predicted model, not a curated record
UUGUCGGACGCUCUUUGGCGUCUCGGCUCCGAUUCCCCGCCCCAUCCGGCAUCUGUUUUCGAGUAGCAAUGACUACGAAGGCCGCGGUUUCGGUGGCUCUGCCCGAAGUGAAGCUCUUCGAUCGAUGGGGCUUUGAUGGUCUUGAGGGACCCAAGAGCCUCUGCUUGCCUUCUACAUGCUGCUAUUUUUAUCAAUUGCAACAUCCCCAUAAGGUCCUUUGGUUCUUCUUAUUCAUCCCCAGGUAUGCAGCUGCUUUGAGUGCCAUUAUUGAACACUUCUUUGCCCUUUUCUCUGAAGUUUGCACAGGUAGUCACUGGUUACUGUGUGCUGGGAGUGCCAAAUGAGAAGAAUGUUUUACUUUUCCUUUUAUUCUAGUUUAUUCUGUCACUGAUUUUAAUUUCUUUUGUGUGUUGCAUUUACAGAGGUGAACUGCUAGAAUGUUAUAUAAAGCGGUGCUUCUAAUAGUGAUAUGUUAAUUGUAUUAUAUUAGUCAGCUCAUCCAGUGAAAGAAUAGGAUGGGCUCGUUUAAUGUUCUGAUUUCUUCAUGGUUUUUAACAGUUAAAAUUAAGUUGAAUUUUAAGUGGUGCAUUGGUGACAGAAGAGUUUUUGAGUUAAGGGUGAUGAUUUCACUUGUCAAUGAGCUAGCCAUCCAGGAGUUUUAGAUGCGGAUGGGAGUUGGACAGGGUCAUUAUAAUCCAGUAGUUGUGUAGGAGUGCUGGUGAUGUGGUUUUUGUGAGUGUCAGCCACUUGGGUAAUUAAUUAUAGUGAAAAGAAUAAAAUCCCACUUGCUUCCAAAUGAUCUUAAAUGAAGCAGCAGCAUCUAGAUAUGUGUCUACUGACUGUUCAUUUACAUUUUUAUGGUCCAUAUGCAUAUAAUUUGAUAAGCUUCUUUUACUCUCUGUCUACUGUCUAACAUUACCAUAUUCUUUCAUUGCAGAGUUUAAGCAGUGAUCAUACACAGGUCUAGUACAUAAAGAAGAUUCCUCCAAAAACCUCAGCAAAAAGGAACACCACGCUGUCCAGAAAGGCACAACACAUCAGCCAUGGAAACAACACAACCAAACCAAUCCCUAAUACUGAAGUAGGCUGCAAAGUAAAUGGAAGUCAUCAUCAGGAAAUGCGUUGACAGAAUGAAAUGAAUGGAGGAAGAAGGGAACAAGUUCAACCAUGUUGGCAGAUGUGUUCUCGUAUGCUCUCUCGAUCUCUCCUACAAGAUCAUUAAUUGUAGGGCGUCCUUUGCUCGAACUGGCGACACAGAGAACGGCAAUAUUUAAGAUGGACUUGAAAACUUCCAAAUUAAGCUCUCCUUCAAGGCGCGGAUCUACAAAAUCUUCGAGUGGGCGUUUGCCUGCCGAGACAUCCUUGGCCUGCAUCAUGCACCACAAUAGAAUUCAAACAUGAAGAUCUUGCUGAGACUUCUGGGAUAUUACUAUCGUUUGGUGGCUACCUUUCUUGUCAGAGUUUCUCGUGCUUUUGUGUCCAGUUCAAUCACCUUACGCCCUGAUAGAAGCUGCAAUAUGACUACACCGAAGCUGUAGAUGUCACUGGCACAGGAGAGGUUUCCAUGGGACAUGUACUCCGGAUCCAUAUAGCCAAUGGUUCCUCUAACCUCUGUGAAGCAUUUUGUUUCCUUCAUUCCCACCAUCCUCGCCAACCCAAAGUCCGAAAGCUUUGGCUCCAUGUUGUCCAUCAACAGGAUGUUUGCGAGCUGAAAACCAUGUAUCAUCAAUGAAAGACGAUGAACUGAUACAAAGUUAUGGGUCAACUUCUCACCUUGAUGUCUCUGUGAACGAUACAGCCAUCUGGGUGAGUGUGGAGAAACCUUAACGCAAGGGAACAGUCUCUUAGGAUCUUCACCCUCUUCCCCCAUGGAAGAAGAGCAUCACUUCCUACAGUAACCAAGGAGGGAGACCAGAUUGGGAUGACGAACUUUGGAGAGGCCUUCGACUUCUCUCGUGAAGGAGCCAUUCAUAGCAGUCUUGUAGAGGUGCUUGAUUGCAACGAGCUGCCCGCUGGGAAGAAUGCCUUGGUAGACUUGGCCUGCACUUCCAGUGCCGAGGCGUAUUCUGCUGCUGCUGUAGUUUAUGGCUUUCUCAAUCUCUGCUUUGGAGAAUCUGUAAAGACCAGACCAUUUGCUUGCUACUUUCCCUAGUGCAGUAGUAGUGCCUUGAAAACAUGUGUGUUAGUGUGAUUGCUUGUGUAAGCAUCGAGCUCAAAUGCACAGGGAGAAUACCUUUGUUGUGUUCAUGAGUCUUUUUCCUAGCCUUGAACAAAGUAAUGAGAAGAAACAAUCCGAUCAAACCCAGUAGUGUUCCGAGUAUCACUUCCACGA